RNAcentral lists this ribosomal RNA (246 nucleotides) under uncultured Lactobacillus sp. RNAcentral describes it as "partial 16S ribosomal RNA". It matches the Rfam family "Bacterial small subunit ribosomal RNA", at positions 116 to 354 of the family's 1533-position model. Lineage: Bacteria; Bacillati; Bacillota; Bacilli; Lactobacillales; Lactobacillaceae. The record is from RNAcentral.
CGUGGGUAACCUGCCCAAGAGAUCGGGAUAACACCUGGAAACAGAUGCUAAUACCGGAUAACAACAGAUGAUGCCUAUCAACUGUUUAAAAGAUGGUUAUGCUAUCACUCUUGGAUGGACCUGCGGUGCAUUAGCUAGUUGGUAGGGUAACGGCCUACCAAGGCGAUGAUGCAUAGCCGAGUUGAGAGACUGAUCGGCCACAUUGGGACUGAGACACGGCCCAAACUCCUACGGGAGGCAGCAGGG